AGGGUUUGAUUAUGGCUCAGAUUGAACGCUGGCGGCAGGCCUAACACAUGCAAGUCGAGCGGUAGAGAGGUGCUUGCACCUCUUGAGAGCGGCGGACGGGUGAGUAAUGCCUAGGAAUCUGCCUGGUAGUGGGGGAUAACGCUCGGAAACGGACGCUAAUACCGCAUACGUCCUACGGGAGAAAGCAGGGGACCUUCGGGCCUUGCGCUAUCAGAUGAGCCUAGGUCGGAUUAGCUAGUUGGUGGGGUAAUGGCUCACCAAGGCGACGAUCCGUAACUGGUCUGAGAGGAUGAUCAGUCACACUGGAACUGAGACACGGUCCAGACUCCUACGGGAGGCAGCAGUGGGGAAUAUUGGACAAUGGGCGAAAGCCUGAUCCAGCCAUGCCGCGUGUGUGAAGAAGGUCUUCGGAUUGUAAAGCACUUUAAGUUGGGAGGAAGGGCAUUAACCUAAUACGUUAGUGUUUUGACGUUACCGACAGAAUAAGCACCGGCUAACUCUGUGCCAGCAGCCGCGGUAAUACAGAGGGUGCAAGCGUUAAUCGGAAUUACUGGGCGUAAAGCGCGCGUAGGUGGUUCGUUAAGUUGGAUGUGAAAUCCCCGGGCUCAACCUGGGAACUGCAUUCAAAACUGUCGAGCUAGAGUAUGGUAGAGGGUGGUGGAAUUUCCUGUGUAGCGGUGAAAUGCGUAGAUAUAGGAAGGAACACCAGUGGCGAAGGCGACCACCUGGACUGAUACUGACACUGAGGUGCGAAAGCGUGGGGAGCAAACAGGAUUAGAUACCCUGGUAGUCCACGCCGUAAACGAUGUCAACUAGCCGUUGGGAGCCUUGAGCUCUUAGUGGCGCAGCUAACGCAUUAAGUUGACCGCCUGGGGAGUACGGCCGCAAGGUUAAACUCAAAUGAAUUGACGGGGGCCCGCACAGCGGUGGAGCAUGUGGUUUAAUUCG
RNAcentral lists this ribosomal RNA (948 nucleotides) under uncultured Pseudomonas sp. Its description in RNAcentral is "bacterial SSU rRNA". It matches the Rfam family "Bacterial small subunit ribosomal RNA", at positions 8 to 953 of the family's 1533-position model. Lineage: Bacteria; Pseudomonadati; Pseudomonadota; Gammaproteobacteria; Pseudomonadales; Pseudomonadaceae. The record is from RNAcentral.